GUAGUCAUAUGCUUGUCUCAAAGAUUAAGCCAUGCAUGUCUAAGUAUAAAUGCGUUUAUAGUGAAACUGCACAAGGCUCAUUACACCAGUUAUCGUUUAUUUGAUGGUCACUUACCAAGGAUACCUCUGGUAAUUCUAGAGCUAAUACUUGCGCACGGCGGCGACUCAGGAAGCCGCGUAUUUAUUAGAUACCGACCGACCCCGCAAGGGCGAUGGUGAUUCAUAAUAACUGCUCGAAUCGCAAGGUCUUGCACCGGCGAUGCAUCAUUCAAAUAUCUGCCCUAUCAACUUUCGAUGGGAGGGUAGUGGCCUCCCAUGGUGACAACGGGUACGGGCGAUUAGGGUCGAAUUGCCGGAGAGGGAGCCUGAGAAACGGCUACCACAUCCAAGGAAGGCAGCAGGCGCGCAAAUUACCCAAUCUCGAUACGAGGAGGUAGUGACAAGAAAUAUUCAAGCAGAGCUCUAAGAGUUUUGCUAUGAAAAUGGGCUUAAUGUAAACCGUUUCGCGAGGAUCUACUGAAGGGCAAGUCUGGUGGAUCGCCAGAAAGAGCACGCAGUGCUAGUCGAGCAGCAGCCGGUGUUGGGGUGCUGCCGGCGAGGUGACCUGGUACGGGGGAGGCGGCGCUGAUCCCGUUGCGAGCCGCGAGGCCGCAGUAACGCACGCGAAGGCACCGGUGGCGACGCCACUCAAGGGACGUGCUAAACCCGCUCGGAGGAGCGCUGCAGGGACGAGUGCCCAACACACAAAGCCCUGCGGAGACCGGGAGGUCUGGUGAGAUGGCCAGCAGCCGCGGUAAUUCCAGCUUCAGUAGCGUAUAUUAAAGUUGUUGCAGUUAAAAAGCUCGUAGUUGAAUAUCGGGCGGGGCUUGGCUCGCGGUCCACGGACUGCCUGCAGAGCCCUGCCUUUCCUCCCAGUAAUGUGUGGUGUCUCGCAAGGGAUGCCGCGCAACUGGGACCUUUACCUUGAGUAAAUUGGAGUGUUCAAGGCAGGCAUUCGCUUGUACAUGUUAGCAUGGAAUAAUGGAACAGGACGUCGGUCCUUCCGUUGGUCAAAGGAUUGACGUAAUGGUCAAUAGGGACAGUUGGGGGCAUUCGUAUUCAAUCGUCAGAGGUGAAAUUCUUGGAUUGAUUGAAGACGAACUAGUGCGAAAGCAUUUGCCAAGGAUGUUUUCAUUAAUCAAGAACAAAAGUUAGGGGAUCGAAGACGAUUAGAUACCGUCGUAGUCUUAACCAUAAACGAUGCCGGCUCGGGAUCCGGGGAUGGUUUAUUCCACGCCUCUUCGGGCACCGUUCGAGAAAUCAAAGCUUUUGGGCUCUGGGGGGAGUAUGGUCGCAAGGCUGAAACUUAAAGGAAUUGACGGAAGGGCACCACCAGGGGUGGAGCCUGCGGCUUAAUUUGACUCAACACGGGACAACUUACCAGGUCCAGACAUAAGAAGGAUUGACAGAUUGAGAGCUCUUUCAUAAUUUUAUGGGUGGUGGUGCAUGGCCGUUCUUAGUUGGUGGAGCGAUUUGUCUGGUUAAUUCCGAUAACGAACGAGACCCUGACCUGCUCACUAGUGUACAUUUGGCAGCAAGUGCUACGCUUCUGAGAGGGACAAUGGGUGGCAAACCCAUGGAAGUGCUGGGCGAAAACAGGUCUGUGAUGCCCUUAGAUGUUCUGGGCUGCACGCGCGCUACACUGAUGGCGUCAGCGAGUGUAUCCUUGGCUGACAAGCCUGGGUAAUCUUGUGAAACGCCAUCGUGCUAGGGAUAGAGCCUUGCAAUUUUGCUCUUGAACGAGGAAUCCCUAGUAAGCGCAAGUCAUCAACUUGCGUUGAUUACGUCCCUGCCCUUUGUACACACCGCCCGUCGCUACUACCGAUUGAAUGGCUUAGUGAGAUUCUCGGAUUGGCCCAGGGGUAUCCACCUCUGCGCUGGGAAGUUGCUCAAACUUGGUUAUUUAGAGGAAGUAAAAGUCGUAACAAGGUUUCCGUAGGUGAACCUGCGGAAGGAUCAUUCUUGUAGAGCGGCCGGGCGUAGGCCUGGCCAUACCAUGUGUGAACCGGUGUAGGCUUCCCGGCGGAAGGCGCGAGCGGACGGCCGGGAGCAGAAGCAUGUCGAUGGCAGGGAGCUCGGGAACAAAUACAACUUUAGACGAUGGAUCUCUUGGCUCUCACACCGAUGAAGAACGCAGCAAACUGCGAUAAGCAAUGCGAAGCGCAGUUGUUCGUGAGUCAUCCGGUAUUCGAACGCACAUGGCAGGUCCUCGGACCUACGUCUGGUUGAGGGUCGACAUUACUCCGCAAGGGACGUGGGCGGGCGCUUGGCUCGCCCGAAAGGCAGGCAACCUGUGCCGCAGCCGUUUGGUGGAAAUCGAGCGGGCAGGCAGCAGGCGGCGCUGGGAGGCAGCAGCCACACGACGCGACCUCAAUCAGACGAGACUACCCGCCGAACUUAAGCAUAUCAAUAAGCGGAGGAAAAGACACCAACAGGGAUUCCCCCAGUAACGGCGAGUGAAAAGGGAGAAGCGCAACAUGGGAAUCGUGCCGCAGGUGCGAGUUGUAGGGUUGCAUUGCCUGCCUAGGACGACGCGGCGUGUAAGUCUCUUGGAACAGAGCAGCAGAGAGGGUGAUACUCCCGUGACGCGCGGCAGAGUCUGGGAUGGCAGGCAGUAGGCGAGUCGAGUUGUUUGGGAAUGCAGCUCCAACGGGUGGUAAUCUCCAUCCAACGCUAAAUAAAGGUGAGAGACCGAUAGCAAACAAGUACCGUGAGGGAAAGAUGAAAAGCACCUUGAAAGGGCGUUAAAAGAAUGUGAAAUCGUCUAGGGGGAAGCGUUGCCAGCGAGUGCAGCACGGCGCAGAUCAGGCACUCUUUGAGGGUGCUGCACUGUGUGUUGUGCUGGUCCACAUCAGUUUGGGCUGCUGGAUAGUCUCUCUGGAAGGUAGCGUCCUCGGACGUGUUAAGCCGGGGAGGGCGCAGUGGCCCGGACUGAGGACCGCCGUGCACGUUUGCGGGGCCUCUUGUCUCUGUCGCGCUGCCGGGGGGUGCAUCUCUGAUGAGCCCGCCGAGCAGCGCGUCACCGGCGAGAGAGGCCGCCUCUGCACGA
This 3088-nucleotide ribosomal RNA is filed under the name Amoeboradix gromovi. RNAcentral's name for it is "SSU rRNA". The stretch from base 1 to 2001 matches the Rfam family "Eukaryotic small subunit ribosomal RNA". Lineage: Eukaryota; Fungi; Sanchytriomycota; Sanchytriomycetes; Sanchytriales; Sanchytriaceae. The record is from RNAcentral.